Molecule: ribosomal RNA, 490 nt
Filed under: Staphylococcus sp.
Lineage: Bacteria; Bacillati; Bacillota; Bacilli; Caryophanales; Staphylococcaceae
Description: bacterial SSU rRNA
Rfam family: Bacterial small subunit ribosomal RNA
Source: RNAcentral
ACGGGUGAGUAACACGUGGGUAACCUACCUAUAAGACUGGGAUAACUCCGGGAAACCGGGGCUAAUACCGGAUAAUAUUUUGAACCGCAUGGUUCAAUAGUGAAAGACGGUUUCGGCUGUCACUUAUAGAUGGACCCGCGCCGUAUUAGCUAGUUGGUAAGGUAACGGCUUACCAAGGCGACGAUACGUAGCCGACCUGAGAGGGUGAUCGGCCACACUGGAACUGAGACACGGUCCAGACUCCUACGGGAGGCAGCAGUAGGGAAUCUUCCGCAAUGGGCGAAAGCCUGACGGAGCAACGCCGCGUGAGUGAUGAAGGUCUUCGGAUCGUAAAACUCUGUUGUUAGGGAAGAACAAAUUUGUUAGUAACUGAACAAGUCUUGACGGUACCUAACCAGAAAGCCACGGCUAACUACGUGCCAGCAGCCGCGGUAAUACGUAGGUGGCAAGCGUUAUCCGGAAUUAUUGGGCGUAAAGCGCGCGUAGGCGG